AUUGAACGCUGGCGGCAGGCCUAACACAUGCAAGUCGAGCGGAGCGCCGGACGGGUGAGUAAUGUCUGGGAAACUGCCUGAUGUAGGGGGAUAACUACUGUAAACGGUAGCUAUUACCCCGUACUCUCAGAUGAGCCUAGGUCGGAUUAGCUAGUUGGUGGGGUAAAGGCCUACCAAGGCGACGAUCAGUAACUGGUCUGAAAGGAGGAUCAGUCACACUGGAACUGAGACACGGUACAGACUCCUACGGGAGGCAGCAGUGGGGAAUAUUGGACAAUGGGCGAAAGCCUGAUCGAGACAUGCCGCGUGUGUGAAGAAGGUCUUAGGAUUGUAAAGCACUUGAAGUUGGGAGGCGUUACCAACAGAAUAAGCACCGGCUAACUCCGUGCCAGCCGCCGCGGUAAUAC
RNAcentral lists this ribosomal RNA (407 nucleotides) under uncultured bacterium. Its description in RNAcentral is "partial 16S ribosomal RNA". It matches the Rfam family "Bacterial small subunit ribosomal RNA", at positions 30 to 526 of the family's 1533-position model. The record is from RNAcentral.